GGCAGUGUAGCUUAAUGGUAAAGUGUCCGCCUGUUCAAGGCGAAAGAUAGCCGUUCGAUUCGGUUCGCUGCCC
RNAcentral lists this transfer RNA (73 nucleotides) under Nostoc sp. RNAcentral's name for it is "tRNA-Glu". It matches the Rfam family "tRNA". From Rfam's summary of the family: Transfer RNA (tRNA) molecules are approximately 80 nucleotides in length. Their secondary structure includes four short double-helical elements and three loops (D, anti-codon, and T loops). Further hydrogen bonds mediate the characteristic L-shaped molecular structure. tRNAs have two regions of fundamental functional importance: the anti-codon, which is responsible for specific mRNA codon recognition, and the 3' end, to which the tRNAs corresponding amino acid is attached (by aminoacyl-tRNA synthetases). tRNAs cope with the degeneracy of the genetic code in two manners: having more than one tRNA (with a specific anti-codon) for a particular amino acid; and 'wobble' base-pairing, i.e. permitting non-standard base-pairing at the 3rd anti-codon position. The record is from RNAcentral. Lineage: Bacteria; Bacillati; Cyanobacteriota; Cyanophyceae; Nostocales; Nostocaceae. RNAcentral also lists the same sequence under 2 other names.